UGAAGGAUCACACUCUCUUUUUUCUGAAACCAUCUGCGUGCAUUUCAAUUGCAGGAUAUAUGAUUGCCUAUGGAAUCAAUUAGAGUUAAUUGGAAAUAAGCAAGUUGUGCUGAUGCAGGAGUCACUGCAUACUCUAUAUGUAGAUACAUUCAUACGUAAAGAAAAAGAGAUAAAAGUAUAUGGUUGGCUAUAAUAUGGAAAGUUUAAAAAGUUAAAAUCCACAAAGCAUAAAGUAUAAAUAUGGAAUCUGGAAGCACUGAAAAAGCAUUGUAUUGAAUCUGGAUACUAUGUAGAGAGAAAAAUAAACACAAGAUACGAUCAUAAUGUUAAUAGACUACUGGUGUUGAUUUUAAGAGAUAUGUUUGGCUAUAAUCAAGAGAAUGCGAGAAAAAACGCAAAAA
This is a long non-coding RNA of Hydra vulgaris (swiftwater hydra), 401 nucleotides long. RefSeq lists it as uncharacterized. The record is from RefSeq and is a predicted model, not a curated record. NCBI's taxonomy places the organism in Eukaryota, Metazoa, Cnidaria, Hydrozoa, Anthoathecata, Hydridae.